Molecule: ribosomal RNA, 492 nt
Filed under: uncultured bacterium
Lineage: Bacteria
Description: partial 16S ribosomal RNA
Rfam family: Bacterial small subunit ribosomal RNA
Source: RNAcentral
CUUUCUCUCUGGCGGUAGGCCUAACACAUGCAAGUCGAACGGCAGCACAGUAAGAGCUUGCUCUUACGGGUGGCGAGUGGCGGACGGGUGAGGAAUACAUCGGAAUCUACUUUUUCGUGGGGGAUAACGUAGGGAAACUUACGCUAAUACCGCAUACGACCUACGGGUGAAAGCAGGGGAUCUUCGGACCUUGCGCGAUUGAAUGAGCCGAUGUCGGAUUAGCUAGUUGGCGGGGUAAAGGCCCACCAAGGCGACGAUCCGUAGCUGGUCUGAGAGGAUGAUCGGCCACACUGGAACUGAGACACGGUCCAGACUCCUACGGGAGGCAGCAGUGGGGAAUAUUGGACAAUGGGCGCAAGCCUGAUCCAGCCAUACCGCGUGGGUGAAGAAGGCCUUCGGGUUGUAAAGCCCUUUUGUUGGGAAAGAAAAACAGCAGGUUAAUACCCCGCUGUUCUGACGGUACCCAAAGAAUAAGCACCGGCUAACUUCGUG